RNAcentral lists this ribosomal RNA (526 nucleotides) under Melipona aff. mimetica CR-2009. Its description in RNAcentral is "partial 16S ribosomal RNA". The stretch from base 374 to 526 matches the Rfam family "Bacterial large subunit ribosomal RNA", at positions 2473 to 2626 of the family's 2925-position model. The record is from RNAcentral. Lineage: Eukaryota; Metazoa; Arthropoda; Insecta; Hymenoptera; Apidae.
GUCUUAUUGAUAAUAAUUUUAAGUCAAUCUCUGCCCAAUGAUUUAAUUAAAUGGCUGCAGUAUAAUUGACUGUACAAAGGUAGCAUAAUCAGUUGAUUUUUAAAUGGAAUCUGGAAUGAAAGGAUUAAUGAAAUAUAUACUGUCUCAUAUAUAUCAUAUGAAUUUAAAAUUUUAAUAAAAAUGUUAAAAUUUUUUUUUGGGACGAUAAGACCCUAUAGAAUUUUAUAUAAAAUAAAUUUUAUAUUAAUAUAAAAUUUAUUUUAUAUUUGGUUGGGAGAAUUAUUAAAUUAAAAAAAUUUUAAUUUUUAUAAACUUGAAUUAAAGAAAAUUUAUUGAUUUAAAAUUUUUAAUUAUUAGAGUAAAUUACCUUAGGGAUAACAGCGUAAUAUUUUUUUAUAGAUCUUAUAGAAAAAAAUGAUUGCGACCUCGAUGUUGAAUUAAGAUAAAUUUUAAAUGUAGAAGUUUAAUAAUUAAGUCUGUUCGACUUUUAAAAUCUUACAUGAUUUGAGUUCAAAUCGACGUAAGU